This 220-nucleotide ribosomal RNA is filed under the name uncultured Glomus. RNAcentral describes it as "partial small subunit ribosomal RNA". It matches the Rfam family "Eukaryotic small subunit ribosomal RNA", at positions 591 to 817 of the family's 1831-position model. Lineage: Eukaryota; Fungi; Glomeromycota; Glomeromycetes; Glomerales; Glomeraceae. The record is from RNAcentral.
CCAAUAGCGUAUAUUAAAGUUGUUGCAGUUAAAAAGCUCGUAGUUGAAUUUCGAGAUCGGCUUACUGGUCGUGCUUUUGUACGUACUGGUAUAAUCGGUUUCUCCUUUCUGACGAACUAUAAUGCCAUUAAUUUGGUGUUAUAGGGAAUCAGGACUGUUACUUUGAAAAAAUUAGAGUGUUUAAAGCAGGCUCACGCUUGAAUACAUUAGCAUGGAAUAA